CUACGGGGGGCUCCAGUGGGGAAUAUUGGACAAUGGGGGAAACCCUGAUCCAGCAAUGCCGCGUGUGUGAAAAAGGCCUGCGGGUUGUAAAGCACUUUCGGUUGGGAGGACUGCUUCUAGCACUAAUAUUGUUGGAAGUUGACGUUACCUUCAGAAGAAGCACCGGCUACUCCGUGCCAGCAGCCGCGGUAAUACGGAGGGUGCAAGCGUGAAUCGGAAUUACUGGGCGUAAAGCGCGCGUAGGCGGCUAGAUCAGUCGGGUGUGAAAGCCCCGGGCUUAACCUGGGAACUGCAUCCGAUACUGUCUAGCUUGAGUACAGGAGAGGAGAGUGGAAUUCCACAUGUAGCGGUGAAAUGCGUAGAUAUGUGGAGGAACACCAAUGGCGAAGGCAGCUCUCUGGCCUGAUACUGACGCUGAGGUGCGAAAGCGUGGGGAGCAAACAGGAUUAGAUACCCUAGUAGUC
RNAcentral lists this ribosomal RNA (464 nucleotides) under uncultured bacterium. RNAcentral's name for it is "partial 16S ribosomal RNA". It matches the Rfam family "Bacterial small subunit ribosomal RNA", at positions 339 to 795 of the family's 1533-position model. The record is from RNAcentral.